AAAACAUCAUAUAAAUAGCGAGUCUAAUGAAACUUAAUUUUCUACUUAUCUUGCAGAUUAGUUUUUGAUCAUUUAUUGUUGUUACUACAUCAAAAGAUAGCUAACUCAAGAAAGAUUAAACGAGAUACUAAUUUUGAGUAUGAAAGUCAAUUUCAACAGAUUCUUUGUUAUCAUAAAUUAAAAGACAUUUUUGAUUAAAAAAUACACGGGGACAUAGUUUUAGAUGAAUUUAUGUAUGUUAUUGUUUGUAUAAACUUGAGUUAGUUUGGCUAUAAAAUGUAUUUCACUUUUUCUAUAUACAUUUUCUAUAUAAAAGGGCAUUAAUUUA
This is a long non-coding RNA of Lactuca sativa (garden lettuce), 328 nucleotides long. RefSeq lists it as uncharacterized. The record is from RefSeq and is a predicted model, not a curated record. NCBI's taxonomy places the organism in Eukaryota, Viridiplantae, Streptophyta, Magnoliopsida, Asterales, Asteraceae.